RNAcentral lists this transfer RNA (76 nucleotides) under Acholeplasma sp. RNAcentral describes it as "tRNA-Lys". It matches the Rfam family "tRNA". Rfam says of the family: Transfer RNA (tRNA) molecules are approximately 80 nucleotides in length. Their secondary structure includes four short double-helical elements and three loops (D, anti-codon, and T loops). The record is from RNAcentral. Lineage: Bacteria; Bacillati; Mycoplasmatota; Mollicutes; Acholeplasmatales; Acholeplasmataceae. RNAcentral also lists the same sequence under 2 other names.
GACCCGUUAGCUCAGGUGGUAGAGCAACUGACUUUUAAUCAGUGGGUCGAAGGUUCGAGUCCUUUACGGGUCACCA